This 369-nucleotide ribosomal RNA is filed under the name Thraustochytrium sp. Its description in RNAcentral is "partial small subunit ribosomal RNA". It matches the Rfam family "Eukaryotic small subunit ribosomal RNA", at positions 582 to 975 of the family's 1831-position model. Lineage: Eukaryota; Bigyra; Thraustochytrida; Thraustochytriidae. The record is from RNAcentral.
AUUCCAGCUCCAAUAGCAUAUAUUAACGUUGUUGCAGUUGAAAAGCUCGUAGUUGAACUUUUGGUAGGAGCGACCUGGCCUUGGGCGCAUGCCCUUGUUUGCUGUGUGUCGUAUCUGGCCAUCCUUUUCUUCUUCGGAAGGAAUCAUUUACUGUGAGUAAACUGGAGUGCUCAAAUCAAGACGUUUGUUUGGUACAUUAAAGCAUGGAAUAAUAAGAUAGGACCUGGUUACUAUUUUGUUGGUUUGCAUAGCUAGGUAAUGAUUAACAGGGACAGUUGGGGGUAUUCGUAUUUAAUUGUCAGAGGUGAAAUUCUUGGAUUUAUGAAAGACGAACGACUGCGAAAGCAUUUACCAAGGAUGUUUUCAUCA